Solanum stenotomum is the source of this 2682-nucleotide long non-coding RNA. RefSeq lists it as uncharacterized. The record is from RefSeq and is a predicted model, not a curated record. NCBI's taxonomy places the organism in Eukaryota, Viridiplantae, Streptophyta, Magnoliopsida, Solanales, Solanaceae. The transcript is spliced from 2 exons.
UUUCUCUCAGCUUGGUCUAUGGACUCUGAGCUUCUUCUUUUCUCUCAAUUCAGCUCAUCGAGCCACAAACGUUGAUCUAGACCCACUUUUUAGCCAUUUGAGCUUACUCUCCUCAUUUCCAGGCCCAUUCUCCAGCCAGUUGAGACUGAUUUUUGUCUCUCUAUAUCAUGUCUACUCUUCAAUGUGCUAAAAAAAGGGAUUUUGAAUCCACGUGUAGACUCAAGAACUCAGUUACAUGUGCAGGAGGGUGUUAGAGCACUUGUCUCUCAUCGAGUGUGUAAAAAAUUUCUAAAGGUUUUAUAAUGUACAGGGCCAUUGCACUCAUUAUCUUUAAGUUUCUGAAUUGGAUGCUCUGGUUAUUUGAUUCUUAUGUUAGUGCACUAGCUUUUGUAUUUUGACUUGCCAAGCUCUGCUGGUUGCUGAAGUUAAUCUUUCUCAGAGUGAAAUGAGAAAAAAAGAAGGUGAAUUAGCAUAACUCCUUCAGGCUUCCUCUUCCAUCCCAUUUUUCAACCAUAAACCUACUGAAGAACACUUUAGGGUACUCUGCUCAUACGGUCCUAGGUAGUUUUAAUAUAGAAAUAUAAGAAAGACGAGGUGGAGGAACGGAAGACUCUAGCAGUGUUGGUAGAGUCAAUGAAUUUGUUUCCUUAAGAUGCUGCUACAGAAAGUGCUGGGGGUGGGGGUGGGGGGAUUUAUUCCUGAUGUCCGGCAUAACUUUUGAGCCGUUGAAUGGAGUCAGAAACAAAACAAACAAAUUUCACAUCGUCUGCGCUGUUUAUCAGAUUCAGCAGGAUCUAAUGAUUUUCUGAUCAUCUGGAAGAUGAUUUCGUGCUUUGUGGCAUCAGCUUGAUAAGUUAUUCCAUCUAAACAAUAGUGCUUGUUCAUGGGUAUUUCAUCAUUCUAAGGAUGUAUGGAAGUCAAAACAAAUCUGACUGCUUCAACGGAAGAAAAGGAGAACGAUAAAAAACACCUUCAAGCAAGAUGUCGCAUUCUAGUACAUUGAGAGCAAAAUCUGCGACAAGAGUUAUUAAAGGGUUGAUGGGUUGACCAUGAUCUCUGCUAUGGUAGCCUCAGGGGACGUUUGCAUUGAUAAGACUUGAGAGUUUCUUCUGUUAAAAAGAUUGGUCCCGUGACUAUGGGGAGGAAGUGACCAGUGGCAUUUAGUCCUGAAACAAAAGUAGAGUGGGAAGUUGGCGACGCUUAUGCCUGAGCGACAAGAUCUUCCUCCUUGACAAGUUCUCCGUAGCCGUCAGAGAACAAGCAAUGAGUGCAAUGCUUGGAGAUGAUAUUUCCUGAAAUUAGUCUUGGUGGACCCCAUGGUUAUCAAAAAAGAAAAGAAAAGUGAGCCUCUUUUGAGAUUAUGAUUUUUUUCUUGAAGAAUAGUUGAGGACAAUUGUUCAGGGUAAAGAGACACCAAGGUAUCACACACUUCUUUACAAGUUUCACAUACAAAGUUUCGGUGAGAAUCAAGAACUAGUGGCGAAAAGGUGACAUUUAUCCAACUGGGUGUAAUAGUAUCAUAUUGGAUCCGUAAAUGACAUUCUUCAUGUGUAGUGAGUGGGCAAGGUAUUGAACCUUCAACCGACAAAAGAAGGUUCUGACUUGUCUCCAAGUUAGGUAAUUCAGAUACAUAGUUUCAAUAGGUAUGGAACCUUGAGGUUAUAGACUGGAGGAUUUGGAAGUCCAAGGGGGGACUAAGAGGGAGUGAGUCGAGUGGUGUUGGAGAAAGAUGAAGUCAUGGCUCUUAUACCAAGUUGGUUCGAGUAAAUGAUUUUCCAAGCUAAUUAAUCAACCAAGCAUUACAUGUAUCUCUUCCUAUAUUAUCUGCUUUUCCUCGCUCAAAUCAUAAGUCCAAAAAACCAGAGUUAAUGUUAUGACUCACAACGCUCAUCCCUUUCAGGGACACGUUAAAGGCAACAUCUUUUGCUGAUCAAUUGAAAAAUUGUCAAUAGUCAGUAUUGUUGGGCUGAUGUCAAACAAUCCUAUCUGUGUCAUGUCGAUGCAGUCGAUUCUGUUGUAAUUGCUUGCUUGGAUCUUGUACCCUCAACCAAACCAGUUUUCUUGUGGAGCCUCUGCCUAGGUAAAGCAAUGAUGUAUAUCAGAAACAGCAGGCAAAGUCCUGCUCAGGGCUUUGGUCAAGUGGCAAAGGUUAGGGGAGUUCGAGCCUUGCAUCAUGCGAACUAAGCCUGAUAUUUAAGUGGAGAUUGCGGUUGGUUCUAAGGGUUGGGCCCAGACCGAUUUAUCGGUCAUCAAGAAAAAGAUCCUGCUCAAUUAUUUGAUUUCCCUUUGCUUAUUUGUAUAUUUCUAAAUGUGUAGGAUGUUCAUCAGGAGCAAUCUGAUUAUAUUUUGUGUCAUGUAAUAAUUGAUGGGUUAUCCUGGCAAACCAUUUGAGAAGUAUCCCCUGGCUUGUAUUAUGACAUUGAUGGGGUUCAACAUGUAGAGUAACAGUAAAACUAAAUUAUAUGUUCUUGCAAGCAUUUUGUGAUACUUGUGGGGAAAAAAUGGUCAUCGGGGAAAGGUGAUUAGACACGAUAUGACAAACCUAGAGCUUACCAUGGAUAUGAUUCCUUAUUCAGAGGAUAUUGGGAUUGAACAUUAGUAGGUAGUCCAACAUUGUUUAGUUUCCUUAAUAGUAUUGUUAUUAUUGUUCUCCUAAUUUCGUAUUCUAGGAUUUUAUCAUUA